GACGAACGCUGGCGGCGUGCUUAACACAUGCAAGUCGAACGGAAAGGCCCUGCUUUUGUGGGGUGCUCGAGUGGCGAACGGGUGAGUAACACGUGAGUAACCUGCCCUUGACUUUGGGAUAACUUCAGGAAACUGGGGCUAAUACCGGAUAGGAGCUCCUGCUGCAUGGUGGGGGUUGGAAAGUUUCGGCGGUUGGGGAUGGACUCGCGGCUUAUCAGCUUGUUGGUGGGGUAGUGGCUUACCAAGGCUUUGACGGGUAGCCGGCCUGAGAGGGUGACCGGCCACAUGGGGACGGAGAUACGGCCCAGACUCCUACGGGAGGCAGCGGUGGGGAAUAUUGCACAAUGGGCGGAAGCCUGAUGCAGCAACGCCGCGUGCGGGAUGACGGCCUUCGGGUUGUAAACCGCUUUCGCCUGUGACGAAGCGUGAGUGACGGUAAUGGGUAAAGAAGCACCGGCUAACUACGU
This 467-nucleotide ribosomal RNA is filed under the name uncultured bacterium. Its description in RNAcentral is "partial 16S ribosomal RNA". It matches the Rfam family "Bacterial small subunit ribosomal RNA", at positions 28 to 506 of the family's 1533-position model. The record is from RNAcentral.